This 48-nucleotide small nucleolar RNA is filed under the name Pyrococcus abyssi GE5. Its description in RNAcentral is "PABsR25". It matches the Rfam family "Pyrococcus C/D box small nucleolar RNA", at positions 5 to 55 of the family's 58-position model. From Rfam's summary of the family: Computational screens have identified C/D box snoRNAs in a number of archaeal genomes. This family represents several related snoRNAs from Pyrococcus. Lineage: Archaea; Methanobacteriati; Methanobacteriota; Thermococci; Thermococcales; Thermococcaceae. The record is from RNAcentral.
AUGAUGAUAACUCCCUGACCUGAAAGGUGAUGAGGACCGGUUCACUGA